CUACAUGGUGGUUGCAUCGAAAUCUCAGGUAGGAGAAAGAGUUGAAAUUGCAGUAGCGAAUUUGAGAAAAUGGGUGGAGGAGGAAUAACAUACAAGGGAGUCACCGUACAAACUCCGAAGACGUGGCACACCGUCGCCGGAAAGGGCUUGUGCGGCGUCAUGUGGUUCUGGAUUCUGUACAGAGCAAAGCAAGACGGUCCUGUAGUCAUGGCAACACUCUCACUCUUUGUUAGGGAUGGAGGCACCCCUGGGAUGGCCAUGGUGAUCAUGGUCACGGUGACCAUCACUAGGUAAUGAACGUGAUCGGGCUUUUGAUGGUUCUUUACCACAUUUUGCUUAUCGCGGGGAAUAUUGAAAAAAGUCUAGUGGAACCUUUGAAGAUCAUGAAGAAAACCUGGUCGUCUCUGUUUUAUUUUCAGCCUCAGAUGUUCAAAUAAAGAGAACCGUGAAGAAGACUUCCAUAUUAUUUGUAUACACACUUUUUGUAAGACUUGCUGCGUGAUGUUUCUUAGCUUGCUACUUCUGUUGGUGUUACUGAUGAUAUUUGUUGUUGUUUUUUUCUUUUGAAAAAGAUGAUAUUUGUUGUUUUUCUGUUUACAAACAAAUGAAAUUAAAAUUAAAAUCGAGCGCUAA
Molecule: RNA transcript, 633 nt
Organism: Raphanus sativus (radish)
Lineage: Eukaryota; Viridiplantae; Streptophyta; Magnoliopsida; Brassicales; Brassicaceae
Exons: 4
Source: RefSeq, a predicted model, not a curated record